GAUGAAGAACGCAGCGAAAUGCGAAAAGUAAUGUGAAUUGCAGAAUUCAGUGAAUCAUCGAAUCUUUGAACGCACAUUGCGCCCGCCAGUAUUCUGGCGGGCAUGCCUGUCUGAGCGUCAUUUCAACCCUCAUGCCCCUAGGGCGUGGUGUUGGGGAUCGACCAGCGCCCGCGAGGGACGGCCGGCCCCUAAAUCUAGUGGCGGACCCGUCGUGGCCUCCCCUGCGAAGUAGUGAUAUUCCGCAUAGGAGAGCGACGAGCCCCUGCCGUUAAACCCCCAACUUUCUAAGGUUGACCUCAGAUCAGGUAGGAAUACCCGCUGAACUUAAGCAUAUCAAUAAGCGGAGGA
This 348-nucleotide unclassified non-coding RNA is filed under the name soil metagenome. RNAcentral describes it as "partial contains 5.8S ribosomal RNA, internal transcribed spacer 2, and large subunit ribosomal RNA". The stretch from base 1 to 120 matches the Rfam family "5.8S ribosomal RNA", at positions 35 to 154 of the family's 154-position model. The record is from RNAcentral.